CCUACGGGGGGCAGCAGUGGGGAAUAUUGGACAAUGGGCGAAAGCCUGAUCCAGCCAUGCCGCGUGUGUGAAGAAGGCCUUCGGGUUGUAAAGCACUUUCAGUGGGGAAGAAAGCCUUGGGGCUAAUACCCUCGAGGAAGGACAUCACCCACAGAAGAAGCACCGGCUAACUCCGUGCUAGCAGCCGCGGUAAUACGGAGGGUGCGAGCGUUAAUCGGAAUUACUGGGCGUAAAGCGCGCGUAGGCGGUCUGAUAAGCCGGUUGUGAAAGCCCCGGGCUCAACCUGGGAACGGCAUCCGGAACUGUCAGGCUAGAGUGCAGGAGAGGAAGGUAGAAUUCCCGGUGUAGCGGUGAAAUGCGUAGAGAUCGGGAGGAAUACCAGUGGCGAAGGCGGCCUUCUGGACUGACACUGACGCUGAGGUGCGAAAGCGUGGGUAGCAAACAGGAUUAGAUACCCGAGUAGUC
This 465-nucleotide ribosomal RNA is filed under the name Vreelandella stevensii. RNAcentral's name for it is "partial 16S ribosomal RNA". It matches the Rfam family "Bacterial small subunit ribosomal RNA", at positions 338 to 795 of the family's 1533-position model. The record is from RNAcentral. Lineage: Bacteria; Pseudomonadati; Pseudomonadota; Gammaproteobacteria; Oceanospirillales; Halomonadaceae.